RNAcentral lists this ribosomal RNA (497 nucleotides) under uncultured bacterium. RNAcentral's name for it is "partial 16S ribosomal RNA". It matches the Rfam family "Bacterial small subunit ribosomal RNA", at positions 28 to 507 of the family's 1533-position model. The record is from RNAcentral.
GACGAACGCUGGCGGCGUGCCUAAUACAUGCAAGUCGAGCGAACAGACGCGUAGCUUGCUCCUUGAACGAGAGCCGCAAGCGGGGGUAUGACAUGUGGAUAACCUACCUAUUAGACUGCAAACUCCUCGAGAAACCGGCGCUGCUCGCGGAGAAUAUACUGAGCCACAGGGUUCGAUAGUGAAUGACGGCUUUCACGUCCAUUAUAGAUGGAUCCGCGCCGCGUUGGAUAGUUGGUAAGGUAACGGCUUACCAAGGCAACUAUGCGUAGCCGACCUGAGAGGGUGAUCGGCCACACGGGAGAGGGGACACGGUCCAGACUCCUACGGGAGGCAGCAGUAGGGAAUCUUCCGCAAUGGGCGAAAGCCUGACGGAGCAACGCCGCGUGAGUGAUGAAGGUCUUCGGAUCGUAAAACUCGGUUAUUAGGGGAGAACAAAUGUGUAAGUAACUAUGCACGUCUUGACGGUACCUAAUCAGAAAGCCACGGCUAACUACGUG